Long non-coding RNA from Stegostoma tigrinum, 649 nucleotides. RefSeq lists it as uncharacterized. The transcript has 2 exons. The record is from RefSeq and is a predicted model, not a curated record. NCBI's taxonomy places the organism in Eukaryota, Metazoa, Chordata, Chondrichthyes, Orectolobiformes, Stegostomatidae.
AUGAUAGUUCCAUUUUUGUGCAAUCUUGCAUUAUAAGAAAAUUGCACAAUAGUUGCGCCAUUUCAACUAAUGGGGCCAGAAUCAUGUUAUAGCCAAUAUAGGUAAGGAAAGUUCAUGUUCUACAAAUAGUCAAAAUUCUUCAGUCGUGUUAAAGCCACUUUGUGUUGAAGAAAUGUGUUAUAGCAGAAUCAACUGUACAGUAAAGGUGUUGUUGGGAUUCUCUCAUGAUUUUAAAGUCUCUUUUAAAAAAGAAAGCUUUCCUUGGAGCAGCUGAGACCUGGAGCAGAGCACCUGGGGGCUAGAGUGGAGCGGGUUUAGGACCCGGAGUGGAAUCGGGGCGCUUAUUGGACUGGGGAUGUGUGCGAGCAGUCAGCGGCUUACGAAGCCAGUCGAGGACGUAUGGAAGUUCCGGUGCUGAAACACUGCAAAAUAAUGUUUAUCUGUAAUUUGCUUGUCUGACUGAUGUUUAUCCUUUCGAUUUUGUCUUGUUUUCCUACUUAUACUAUGAAUCACUGUUAGGCAAUGUAAUUUUCUGUUUUUUUUCUUAAAUACUUUGUACCUAAGAUGGUGCUGUGAGGGUAACAUUGUAAACUUUUCACGGUACUCAAGUACAUAAAUACAUGUGACAAUAAACCUAAUUCUAAUUCCA